RNAcentral lists this ribosomal RNA (124 nucleotides) under Pteropus vampyrus (large flying fox). The record is from RNAcentral. Lineage: Eukaryota; Metazoa; Chordata; Mammalia; Chiroptera; Pteropodidae.
GCAUACGCUAAGCACCUCGUGGAUGGUUACAAAGCCAUCUCUUUCAAAGUACGAAGUAGAACAGGGUCGGGCCUGGUUAGUACUUGGGUGGGAGACCACCUAGGAAGACCAGGUGCCGUAGGCU